This 441-nucleotide ribosomal RNA is filed under the name uncultured Lactobacillus sp. RNAcentral describes it as "bacterial SSU rRNA". It matches the Rfam family "Bacterial small subunit ribosomal RNA", at positions 349 to 782 of the family's 1533-position model. The record is from RNAcentral. Lineage: Bacteria; Bacillati; Bacillota; Bacilli; Lactobacillales; Lactobacillaceae.
CAGCAGUAGGGAAUCUUCCACAAUGGACGAAAGUCUGAUGGAGCAAUGCCGCGUGAGUGAAGAAGGUUUUCGGAUCGUAAAACUCUGUUGUUGAAGAAGAACAUAUGUGAGAGUAACUGUUCACGUACUGACGGUAUUCAACCAGAAAGCCACGGCUAACUACGUGCCAGCAGCCGCGGUAAUACGUAGGUGGCAAGCGUUGUCCGGAUUUAUUGGGCGUAAAGAGAAUGUAGGCGGUUUAUUAAGUUUGAAGUGAAAGCCCUCGGCUCAACCGAGGAAGUGCUUCGAAAACUGGUAAACUUGAGUGCAGAAGAGGAAAGUGGAACUCCAUGUGUAGCGGUGGAAUGCGUAGAUAUAUGGAAGAACACCAGUGGCGAAGGCGGCUUUCUGGUCUGUAACUGACGCUGAGAUUCGAAAGCAUGGGUAGCAAACAGGAUUAGA